This 23-nucleotide non-coding RNA is filed under the name Arabidopsis thaliana (thale cress). Lineage: Eukaryota; Viridiplantae; Streptophyta; Magnoliopsida; Brassicales; Brassicaceae. The record is from RNAcentral.
GAUGUAAGACAGGUUGAGGCUUA